Molecule: RNA transcript, 3315 nt
Organism: Glycine soja
Lineage: Eukaryota; Viridiplantae; Streptophyta; Magnoliopsida; Fabales; Fabaceae
Exons: 9
Source: RefSeq, a predicted model, not a curated record
CCAAAUUUGAAACAUUUUUUUUUUAUAUAAAAAAACCCACAUAACCCGUCUUCUUCAAGACAACAAAAACAAUCAAUCUUUGCUCCCUUCUUCCUCAUCCUACCUUUACUCUCCUCUUCCACCUACCCCCAACAAGACAUACACCAAAUGAAACAAAAGUACACAACCCUAGUACUAAAUGUGAGUGAGUAAAUCCCAAUCUUAAUGGUUGUUGUCCAAGGCUCCAAGGUCCAUCUCCCACACCCUUCCUCCCUCUCUCCCUCUCCCCACCCUCUCCCAACAACCUCCAUCCUCUUUGAACCCUCCUCCCUUUCUCUUGCCCUCACCCACUCUGACUCCUCCCUCUCUCUCUACCCUUCCUUCUCCCCCCAAACCCUAACCCUAGCCCUAACCAUCCCCUCCUCUUCCAAAACCACCCAUACCCUACCUGCUCUUCCUCCUCUGUGGGUCCCACCGUCAUAUUUAUAGUCUCCUCCCCACAUAGAGCCGGCAUCCUCCUUCGCCUCUACCGCCGUCGUCGCGAAACCCCUUCCUUCGCCCGUGUCACUGACGUCCGCUGCUCCCAUAAAGACCUCCUCCGCUUUGAACCUAACCUUGGCGUCGUGCUCGACGCCAAGCAUGGCGCCGCGGUUAGGCUCGCCGGCUCGGUAAAUUACUUCGCGCUCCACGCCCCCUCAAGUAACAAGGUUUGGGUCUUUGCCGUGAAAGACGACGGCGACGGUGGUGGCGACGGCAAUGACGGUGACGGUGGUGUGAGAUUGAUGAGGUGUGCGGUGAUUGAGUGUUCAAGGCCGGUGUUUUCCGUGAGCGUUGCGUUUGGGUUUCUGAUUCUCGGUGAGGAGAAUGGGGUUAGGGUUUUUGGAUUGAGGAGGCUCGUGAAGGGAAGGAGCGGGAAGAGGGUUGGGAAUUCGAAACCGCUGAAGAAUGGUGGUCGAGGAGGCGGUUUGGAGGCGGUGAACUGCAAUGGUGAUUUGGAAGGGAAGAUGGAAAGACAUGGUGGUGUUACUACUGCUGGAUAUAGGUGCGAUACAAGGUGCUGUCCUUUGUUUAAUCUCAAGAUGUUUUAAUGUGAAGCAGACAAAUGUUAAAUUAAAACAUGACGACAGAGAUGGAGGUUCUUGUUUUUUUGUGUUGAAGGGAAACGAGGUUAAAACAAAAUCCAUGACAAAGGAGUAGAUAUCACUGGUAAUGUCAGGCAACUACCUCGUAUUAUGAAAGUGUGAAGUCUUGCUGUUCUUCCUGAUCUAUCUACUAUGUCUCAGACUAUCUGGAUAUCAGAUGGAUGCCAUUCUGUGCACAUGUUCACUGCAAUGGACAUAGAAAAUGCUUUGAAGGAAGCUGAUGGAAAUGAUUGCAAUGAAAAGCUUAGGGGAUGUUUGGUUUGGUUGUUUUUUGUUUUCAUUUUUACUGGUAAUAGAAAAUGGUGAUGGAAAUGUGUUUAGUUGGAUUUUUGUUUUCAUUUUCAGUGAAAAUAUUUUCCCAAAUGAACCAAAAACUGGAAACAAUAAAAUCUCGUUUUCAGUUAAAAUCAAGAACCUUAUUUUGGAUAAAAUGAAAAUGCGAUGGCAAGGAAUGUAAUUUUAAGCAAAUCUAAAAAUACAUUUCCUUUUGAAAACGUAUUUUCAAUGUUUUUAUUUCUUGAAAGCAGAAACAAGAAGUCAAACCAAACAUAUUUUCAAAAUUCUAAUCUUUUGAAAAUGAAAAUAGUUUUCAGAAAAUGAAAACAGGAAAUGAAAAUGCAAAUCAAACACACCCUUAUACAUCUUCCAGGUUCACAAACUUCCUUUUCCAUUAUUGAUUGAAUUAUUUACUGAAUCAGAAAUAUGUAAGUUGCUGUAAUUUUCUUGUUUGAGUAGCAACACAACUUCAACUAAAUUUUUUUUACAGGCCAGACUAAAUAAAUUUAUCCAAAUCAAAAUUUUAAGAAUGUACCUUAUCACUUAUUCAUAAUAAAAAGUUAGUAUAUAAAGGUAUUAAGUAUUAGAGGAAAUGAUGGUGGGAUUGAUAUAAACCUCGAGGAAUGCUAACGACACUUUAACACUCUUUUUGACACUCUCUACUAUUAACUAUGGACUGAAAUUUAUUGGACAUCACCAAUUUUGGUGGGUCUCACUUCUCAUGACUCUUGAUUUAAAAGUGGGAAUCACCAAAAUUGGUGAUUUUCAAUCAAUUUCAAUCAAUCAUACAGAGAGUGUUAGAGAGAGUCUUGCUAGCAUUCCUCAAUAAAGCUUAGUGACAUUUUAUCUCAUUUCACGUAAUUUGGAUAUCAGACCACAUUCCUUUUAUAUAAAUAAAUAUUCGAGCUCCUGUAACUUGGAAAUCAUUGACUGUAGAUUUUAUCGAAUUUUUCCACUUAUUGUAUAAGCUAUUGACAAUAUGCCAUUUAUACUAUAUUUCUUUAAUAUAAAUUAAGGAUCCUAUGAUGCCUUUUGUGAGUUUCGUUCUCUUCACUUAUGUAUAAUCCAAGUAACUUUUACUUUCUUUUUCAGUUAUUUGAGUUCUCUUCUCCAGUGAGAAGAUCCAAGAUAUCAUUUCUCUAUCUGCAGAUUCCAUUCUCAUUCUUGAUCAAGGAAGUUUAUAUGCAUAUGCAAAUUCCUGAAGCUGCUUUGAUUUUUCUUUUAUCUUUUUCAGUGGAAAUCAAUAUUCCCGGUUCCCUUGAUGUUCUAAAGUGUACUUGUGUGGUUCAUCGAUAAAUUCUCUCUUUCAUAGUGCUCUGGUUGCUCUUACCUUAUAGUGCAUUCCUAGGAUACUGGAGAUCAUGAAAGAUUGCAAGUAUCAUUGAACUGGUAAUAUCCGUGGAGUUCUAUAUUUCUGGACCUUCGAUUUUCAAAAGCUUAAAGCCACCUGUCCUGCAAAACCUGUCACAGUUAACUGCUGGAGUACAUACCUCCAACAAAGAUGUUGGCUGUUCAUGCAACUUGCUUAUGCUCAUCUUCUUGAUGUUGGCUGAAAUCAUGGUUUUCUGUCAGAGAACUCAGCAAGGUUCGAUAUAAAAGGCAUGAUCUUGGCAACUAGGUUGCUCCAUUUGUUGGAAUAGUGUUAUUGGAUUGCAAUUUUCUCAUUCCAACUAUGUCUAUGGCUGCUAUUGUGUAAGUUAGUGGAGUUGGAGGCUUGUCUUGUUAUUUUAGUGUUACAUUUAUAGCCUUGUCUUGUUCUUUAGUGUUAGGUUUAUACUUUAUAGCCUUGUCUUGUUAUUUAGGGUUAUGUUUAUAGCCAAUCAUGUUUUGUUGUCGUCUUUACUCGACAAUCUUGAUGCCUUUAAUGCUGUUAUACCUAUUAAUUUUUUUGAAUUUAUGUUCAUGUUUGAUGCCUGUA